AUUGCCUCAGUAGCGGCGAGUGAAGCGGCAAAAGCUCAAAUUUGAAAUCUGGUACCUUUGGUGCCCGAGUUGUAAUUUGAAGAAGGUAUCUUUGGGUACGGCACUUGUCUAUGUUUCUUGGAACAGAACGUCACAGAGGGUGAGAAUCCCGUGCGAUGAGUUGUCCGUGUCCGUGUAAAGUUCCUUCGAAGAGUCGAGUUGUUUGGGAAUGCAGCUCUAAGUGGGUGGUAAAUUCCAUCUAAAGCUAAAUAUUGGCGAGAGACCGAUAGCGAACAAGUACAGUGAUGGAAAGAUGAAAAGAACUUUGAAAAGAGAGUGAAAAAGUACGUGAAAUUGUUGAAAGGGAAGGGUUUGAGAUCAGACUUGGUAUUUUGCAUGGCUCUCGGGUCCUCUGCAGUUUACUGGGCCAGCAUCGGUUUGUCUGGCGGGAUAAUUGCGCAGGAAUGUGGCACGGUUCGCCGUGUGUUAUAGCCUGUGUGGAUGCCNGGCGGGUAGACCGAGGACUGCGAUUUUUUUAAUCUAGGAUGCUGGCAUAAUGAUCCCAAACCGCCCGUCUUGAAACACGGACCAAGGAGUCUAACGUCUAUGCGAGUGUUUGGGUGUAAAACCCGUACGCGGAAUGAAAGUGAACGUAGGUGGGGGCCCGCAAGGGUGCACCAUCGACCGAUCCUGAUGUCUUCGGAUGGAUUUGAGUAAGAGCAUAGCUGUUGGGACCCGAAAGAUGGUGAACUAUGCCUGAAUAGGGUGAAGCCAGAGGAAACUCUGGUGGAGGCUCGUAGCGGUUCUGACGUGCA
Molecule: ribosomal RNA, 794 nt
Filed under: Intestinozyma alai
Lineage: Eukaryota; Fungi; Ascomycota; Pichiomycetes; Serinales; Debaryomycetaceae
Description: LSU rRNA
Rfam family: Eukaryotic large subunit ribosomal RNA
Source: RNAcentral